CUGAAAUCAGAUGGGACUACCC
This 22-nucleotide ribosomal RNA is filed under the name Cunninghamella elegans. Its description in RNAcentral is "partial 28S ribosomal RNA". The record is from RNAcentral. Lineage: Eukaryota; Fungi; Mucoromycota; Mucoromycetes; Mucorales; Cunninghamellaceae. RNAcentral also lists the same sequence under 3 other names.